RNAcentral lists this transfer RNA (69 nucleotides) under Cordylochernes scorpioides. RNAcentral describes it as "tRNA-Gly". The stretch from base 6 to 61 matches the Rfam family "tRNA", at positions 8 to 63 of the family's 71-position model. Rfam says of the family: Transfer RNA (tRNA) molecules are approximately 80 nucleotides in length. The record is from RNAcentral. Lineage: Eukaryota; Metazoa; Arthropoda; Arachnida; Pseudoscorpiones; Chernetidae.
GCUUUUGGUUCAGUGGUAGAAUGCUCGCCUGCCACGCGGGCGCCUCGGGUUCGAUUCCCGGCCUAUGCA